RNAcentral lists this ribosomal RNA (253 nucleotides) under uncultured bacterium. RNAcentral describes it as "partial 16S ribosomal RNA". It matches the Rfam family "Bacterial small subunit ribosomal RNA", at positions 524 to 776 of the family's 1533-position model. The record is from RNAcentral.
UACGUAGGGUGCAAGCGUUGUCCGGAAUUAUUGGGCGUAAAGAGCUCGUAGGCGGUCUGUCGCGUCUGCUGUGAAAACUCGGGGCUUAACCCCGGGCCUGCAGUGGGUACGGGCAGACUAGAGUGCGGUAGGGGAGACUGGAAUUCCUGGUGUAGCGGUGAAAUGCGCAGAUAUCAGGAGGAACACCGGUGGCGAAGGCGGUUCUCUGGGCAUUACCUGACGCUGAGGAGCGAAAGUGUGGGGAGCGAACAGG